CCUACGGGCGGCUGCAGUGGGGAAUAUUGCACAAUGGGCGCAAGCCUGAUGCAGCCAUGCCGCGUGUGUGAAGAAGGCCUUCGGGUUGUAAAGCACUUUCAGCGGGGAGGAAGGCGGUGAGGUUAAUAACCUCAUCGAUUGACGUUACCCGCAGAAGAAGCACCGGCUAACUCCGUGCCAGCAGCCGCGGUAAUACGGAGGGUGCAAGCGUUAAUCGGAAUUACUGGGCGUAAAGCGCACGCAGGCGGUCUGUCAAGUCGGAUGUGAAAUCCCCGGGCUCAACCUGGGAACUGCAUUCGAAACUGGCAGGCUAGAGUCUUGGAGAGGGGGGUAGAAUUCCAGGUGUAGCGGUGAAAUGCGUAGAGAUCGGGAGGAAUACCGGUGGCGAAGGCGGCCCCCUGGACAAAGACUGACGCUCAGGUGCGAAAGCGUGGGGAGCAAACAGGAUUAGAUACCCCGGUAGUC
This 465-nucleotide ribosomal RNA is filed under the name uncultured Klebsiella sp. RNAcentral's name for it is "bacterial SSU rRNA". It matches the Rfam family "Bacterial small subunit ribosomal RNA", at positions 338 to 795 of the family's 1533-position model. Lineage: Bacteria; Pseudomonadati; Pseudomonadota; Gammaproteobacteria; Enterobacterales; Enterobacteriaceae. The record is from RNAcentral.